GGCCUAUUGUAAAAAAUUUUAGGUCUAAUCUGCCCACUGAUAAUUUAAAUGGCCGCGGUAUUUUGACCGUGCAAAGGUAGCAUAAUCAUUAGUUUUUUAAUUGAAAGCUGGAAUGAAUGAUUUGAUAAGAAAAAAGCUGUCUAGUUUAUAAAUUUUGAAUUUUAUUUUUGAGUCAAAAAGCUUAAAUAUAAUUUAAAGACGAGAAGACCCUAUAGAGUUUUAUUUAAUCAAUUAAUUUUUAUUUAGAAUUAAUAUAUGAAUUAAGUAAAUUAAAUUUGGUUGGGGUGAUUAAAAAAUUAAUUAAACUUUUUUUUAUUUUAAACAGUAAUUUCUGAUUAAUUGAUCCAUUAUUAUUGAUUAUAAGAUUAAAUUACCUUAGGGAUAACAGCGUAAUUUUUUUUGAGAGUUCAUAUUGAAAGAAAAGAUUGCGACCUCGAUGUUGGAUUAAAAUUUAUUUUUGGUGCAGAAGCUAAAAAAUUAAGUCUGUUCGACUUUUAUAAUUUUACA
Molecule: ribosomal RNA, 507 nt
Filed under: Cucujinus sp. BYU CO853
Lineage: Eukaryota; Metazoa; Arthropoda; Insecta; Coleoptera; Laemophloeidae
Description: partial 16S ribosomal RNA
Rfam family: Bacterial large subunit ribosomal RNA (bases 381-507)
Source: RNAcentral